CCUAUUCAAGAUGGAGACGCCCUGGUUCAGACGCCUCUGACAGAUGCUCCAAGAUGAUGUGAAGACCAGAAGUUUUUUGAAUUGCAUCUCUAAUGACCUAUCAGAUCAGAAGACUGGUAAACCUGGAGCCUCAUCCCAAGAGGUGAUGGUGUCUGGGUUUAUUAUGGAUCGCAGGAUGUAACUAUCAAUCUGGAGCUUUAGGGGGAAGAAGAAAGAAUAUUUUGAACCACACCAGGAGAAUUACCCUAGAGAAUAUAAGUUCACCUGCCAAAAUGGGAGGCUGGCAUCUUUUUGCUCUAUGAGAAGGCUGCUGAGCUAACAGGUCUGCCUUGGCAUAAAUGUCUAGAAGAGCAUGUGUCUCCUGGAGUAUGGGGACAUUUGUGUUUCCAUAAAUUGGCAGCUGCUUCUGGUUAGAGACUUCUAAAAGGUCUGGAAUACUGGAAUACUGGUAUAGUCCAAAAGGGGAAGAUGAAAAGGAGCCGUGGAACAUUGUACCAGGAAGAAGAUGGGACAUUACUCUCCGCAUGCCCUGGAGCUUUCGGAAGACGUAUAAGAGGAUCUUAGUUUCCAUAGCUCCACAUGAAAGAGCAAGCAGGGCUGCUGAUGUCCACUGUGGGCUCCAAGUGAGGGACUGGCCCAUGGGCAGGAGGUGAGGGAGACUUACUUGCUUUUCUCUGAGCUGGUCCACAGGAGCAGAGGAGACUGGGGUGAGCCUCACUCCAGAAUACUUGUAGAGUAUGUGACACCGGUUACCAACCUUGGCUCCACAAAAAUUACCUGUGAACCUUCUAAAAUACACAUAAGAAAUUCUUACUGAAUUGAACUGGGACGAGAUUCCACGUAUCAGGAUUCUGUAAAAGCUCCCCCAGUGACUCAAGAUGAAGUCCGGGUUGAAGACCAGUGAUAUGCAGGAAAUGUGUCCUGUGAUUUGAAACCACAUUCCAUUUGUCAAGCAAGACACUACGGCCACAUAAUGGAGAUCUACUUCCAUAUGAACCAGUGGAUUUCACUCUGCUUAAUGG
Molecule: long non-coding RNA, 1022 nt
Organism: Homo sapiens (human)
Lineage: Eukaryota; Metazoa; Chordata; Mammalia; Primates; Hominidae
Source: Ensembl